UAAGGGAUCACAGUAAGUAAUAAGUGGGGUUCCAGUUCAUUUACUUUGAGUAAAUUAGAGUGUUCAAAAGCAGCCUGUAUGGGCAUUGAAUAGAUUAGCAUGGGAUAAUAGAAUAGGAUUCUUAUCUAUUUAUUGGUUUAUAGAUUUAGAAUAAUGAUUAAUAGGAUAGUUGGGGCACUUGUAUUCAAUAGUCAGAGGUGAAAUUCUAGGAUUUUAUUGAAGACAAACUUCAGCGAAAGCAUUUGCCAAGGAUGUUUUCAUUAAUCAAGAACGAAAGUUAGGGGAUCGAAGACGAUUAGACACCGUCGUAGUCUUAACUAUAAACUAUGCCGACCAGGGAUAUGAGUAGUUUUUUAUUUAUGUUAUUAAAAGUAACAUAAUCUCUUGUGGACCUUGUGAGAAAUCAUAAGUUUUUGGGUUCUGGGG
This 426-nucleotide ribosomal RNA is filed under the name uncultured eukaryote. RNAcentral's name for it is "bacterial SSU rRNA". It matches the Rfam family "Eukaryotic small subunit ribosomal RNA", at positions 712 to 1119 of the family's 1831-position model. The record is from RNAcentral.